Molecule: ribosomal RNA, 429 nt
Filed under: uncultured bacterium
Lineage: Bacteria
Description: bacterial SSU rRNA
Rfam family: Bacterial small subunit ribosomal RNA
Source: RNAcentral
UGGGGAAUUGUUCGCAAUGGGCGCAAGCCUGACGACGCAACGCCGCGUGGAGGACGAAGAUCUUCGGGUCGUAAACUCCUUUCGAUCGGGAAGAACGCCUCUGGAGUGAAUAACUCCGGAGGGUGACGGUACCGAGAGAAGAAGCCCCGGCUAACUCCGUGCCAGCAGCCGCGGUAAUACGGGGGGGGCAAGCGUUGUUCGGAAUUACUGGGCGUAAAGGGCUCGUAGGCGGCCAACUAAGUCGGAUGUGAAAUCCCCAGGCUUAACCUGGGAACUGCAUCCGAUACUGGAUGGCUUGAAUCCGGGAGAGGGAUGCGGAAUUCCAGGUGUAGCGGUGAAAUGCGUAGAUAUCUGGAGGAACACCGGUGGCGAAGGCGGCAUCCUGGACCGGCAUUGACGCUGAGGAGCGAAAGCCAGGGGAGCAAACGG